UUCCGGCUUACGCAUCAUAAAAAUGUGC
Molecule: small RNA, 28 nt
Filed under: Bombyx mori (domestic silkworm)
Lineage: Eukaryota; Metazoa; Arthropoda; Insecta; Lepidoptera; Bombycidae
Description: ovarian small RNA-37223
Source: RNAcentral